RNAcentral lists this ribosomal RNA (709 nucleotides) under Streptomyces sp. YIM 100339. RNAcentral describes it as "bacterial SSU rRNA". It matches the Rfam family "Bacterial small subunit ribosomal RNA", at positions 56 to 782 of the family's 1533-position model. The record is from RNAcentral. Lineage: Bacteria; Bacillati; Actinomycetota; Actinomycetes; Kitasatosporales; Streptomycetaceae.
UGCAGUCGAACGAUGAACCACUUCGGUGGGGAUUAGUGGCGAACGGGUGAGUAACACGUGGGCAAUCUGCCCUUCACUCUGGGACAAGCCCUGGAAACGGGGUCUAAUACCGGAUACUGACCCUCGCAGGCAUCUGCGAGGUUCGAAAGCUCCGGCGGUGAAGGAUGAGCCCGCGGCCUAUCAGCUUGUUGGUGAGGUAAUGGCUCACCAAGGCGACGACGGGUAGCCGGCCUGAGAGGGCGACCGGCCACACUGGGACUGAGACACGGCCCAGACUCCUACGGGAGGCAGCAGUGGGGAAUAUUGCACAAUGGGCGAAAGCCUGAUGCAGCGACGCCGCGUGAGGGAUGACGGCCUUCGGGUUGUAAACCUCUUUCAGCAGGGAAGAAGCGAAAGUGACGGUACCUGCAGAAGAAGCGCCGGCUAACUACGUGCCAGCAGCCGCGGUAAUACGUAGGGCGCAAGCGUUGUCCGGAAUUAUUGGGCGUAAAGAGCUCGUAGGCGGCUUGUCACGUCGGUUGUGAAAGCCCGGGGCUUAACCCCGGGUCUGCAGUCGAUACGGGCAGGCUAGAGUUCGGUAGGGGAGAUCGGAAUUCCUGGUGUAGCGGUGAAAUGCGCAGAUAUCAGGAGGAACACCGGUGGCGAAGGCGGAUCUCUGGGCCGAUACUGACGCUGAGGAGCGAAAGCGUGGGGAGCGAACAGGAUUAGA